Molecule: long non-coding RNA, 2001 nt
Filed under: Brachypodium distachyon (stiff brome)
Lineage: Eukaryota; Viridiplantae; Streptophyta; Magnoliopsida; Poales; Poaceae
Description: long non-coding RNA (BDIS_LNC005260)
Source: RNAcentral
GCCAUUAUUCGAGCUCUAUUAUGCCAUCCGUGUCACUGCGCCGGCAGCUUGCAGUUUGUAGCUCCUGAAGAUAUGCAUAGUUUGCCAUCAUUGUUCUUCAUUUUGCAUGUCAUAUCCAAUACAAUUUCAAAUAGUUUAACACAGGAGAAUGGAAGUUAAAUAUUAGCGUACCAGCUUGUUGCAUCCUAUGGAGUACCCAAAAAAUUGACAUAUUCAGCAUUCAGAGUACAGAUGUUUAGCUCAUAGAAGCGCUAAAGCCUAACAGGCAACCACUACAAUUCAAAGAAUCAAGGGUGUACUUCUAUGCUCUAACACCUAACAGGCAACAACUACAAUUCAAAGAAUCAGUGUGCUUCUAUGCUAAAAAAAUUGUUAAAAUAUACUUAUUAAUAAUUUCAAGCAAAUUAAAAAUUGUAUAUAUGCAGUUCUUUCAGAUAAUACAAUGUUUAGACUUUAGAGGCAAAUCAAAGCAAGCUGGCAAGGGACAAGGUCAUGAACUUAGCACAUGCAAUGUUUAGACUUUAGAGGCUAUCUCUUUGGUCCUUAUUGGAGCCAGUAGUGGUAGUGUUUGGGUGAUUGGAUAUCACAAUGUGCUGCCAUACUGACCUGCUUAAUGGCUCAUGGGCAUGCUUCAUGAGGACUACAUGUAAGUUGGGUCCAAGAUGUGAACAGUGAGGAACAGUUCUGUUUGCAAUGAGAUAUUAAUUAUUUAAGAUCUGAAUGUCCCCUGAGAUUGAGAUAUGUAGUCUGAUCGUUGUUGCCACUGCCUGCAAUAAGUUGUUUUUGAACGACAACUAGUUUUAAUGUGUUCAGGGAUCCAAACAAGUGAACAACGUGCCCAACAAUUUCAUAUAACCUCUUUAGCUGGUAGUCUGUUUGACAUCUCAUGUGAACUUCAUUUCAUAGCUGCUUCUUACACUCUCCAAUAUGGACCUACCGGACUACAUUUAGCUUAUUAUCAAUAUUGAGUUCUGAACAGUUCUACUCAACGAUAUUUCCCAGUUGAGACUUGAAGCAAUCAUAUCUCUUUCUGAAAAAUAGAGCAGGAACUAACAUCAAGAGCAAAAGAAAGAGAACCCAUGUUUCCUGGUCUCAAAUGUGUCCUGUGUGCAUGCCCUCAGGCAACUUGCUGCAACAUCAAGAAGUAUAUUCUAGUUUUCAUUUGCAGCACGUCAUGUGGUCGCUUCAUUCAACCCAUGUUUCCUGGUCUGUAUUUUGCUGUGGGCACUACCUGGUUUCAAGUUUCAAAUGAAAAGGCUGAUUCGUCACCAUCCAAUGGAUACCUAAAUAGACCCAAUUCUCAGGGCGUCUAUAUGAUUGGAAUUUUAACCAGGGUGUCAUCGUGAUGUAUGAUGUUGAAAUUUUGGACUAUUGUGCAACAUCAUCAUUUAGCUCAGCGUUGCAGGAUCAGACCCUCAAAAGCGGUACUCAAGAAAAAAAAACACAUCCCAUAUUAAAUAUUGCAACCACGACUAUAUCCUUCUUUGGGACAUAUAGUGUGCCAGAUUAUUCUAUAGAAACGGCAUAUUCUGAAAGCAUGAAAGCAUUCAGAGGUAGUGGCAACUUACAAGCAUUGCAGGAGUAACCUCUGGCACUCGUCGAGAUAUAUCCCAAAAUCCCAAAUGUGGCUAGAGUUCCCAUGUCAAAUAAUAAUCGGCAACCUGUCCAUUAUCGUGUAUCAUUAUAUGACUCUUAACCGUAAUUUCUACGAAACAGAAAGGCAAAGGCAUUAGAAGAUCUCACCGGGAUGUGCAAUGGAAGAGGUGCUCGAGCCGCCGCGCGGCGCACGCACGCGUAGAAGGGACCCCCACGCGCGCCCGACGCCGCCGCCAAUCGCCCCGUACCGGGGGGCAUGAGCGGAAGAUUUGGUAGCGCUCGCGCCUGAUCCGCUUCCCUGAUAGACGGAGGCUUGGUGGCAGCCUCGUCCCCGCUGCGCUCGCCCAUCGUCGAAGCAGGCGAGAGCAAAUCCGACCUACCGAGCCGCAACUUCCUGGGUAAACG